UAUGUGAUUAUGAUCUUCAGGCUUUGCCUAUCCAGGUGGGCAUUACUUUUACUAUACGUAUAUAGAGAUCCCCUGCGUGUCGUAGGCCUCUUAUACGAAUAUAUGCAUGAGAUGAUUUUAACUGUUGAUUUCAGUUUUAUUAUUAUGCCCAAAUGAUAAAUGACUCUUAUGAAAUAAAAAUGAAAUGUUUAUGAAAUGAAAUGAAAUGUUUAUGAAAUGAUUGACUGCCAAAAAUGUUUAUGUUUUUAUAUGUAUCCUAUCUGUGUUGGUUCGCCAACUUUAAAGGAAAUCCAAUUGGGAUCCUAUGCUAGACAAAGGUCGCUAGCUAGGGUUAACGUGUACACUCAUGGAGACCGCGAGUCGCUUGCGACCGGUCUUGGCGUCCGUGGUAAGGAGGCCUCCUUCCCGGCGCGUGAUAGAAAGGAACAGAUAUGGAUCAUAUGAAGGAAAAUGAUCGGCCGAUCGACUUUAUGAAAAUGAAAGAAAUGUUUUAGUAAGCGCAGGUCUUUCAAGAAAACCCCUGUGUGUUACUGCUAUGGCAGUUCAAUUUAUAUAUAUGUUAUGCAUGAUUGUAUUUUCGGCUAUGCCCACUGAGUAUUUUUAUACUCAGCCCUGCAUGUAUUUCUAAAUGUGCAGGUUGAGCAGCUGAUGGAAUGGAAUGAUGUUGAGCGGGUGUUCCUUUGACAUUUCAAGAAAUGUAACCUUGAGUAUACAUCUUCAUAUGUAUAUCUCACACGUUUUCCGCUGCAAAACACUUUGAUUAGGAUAACUUUAUGUUAUGAAAUUGUGACACGUGUUAUUGGGUAACCCACCU
RNAcentral lists this long non-coding RNA (814 nucleotides) under Salvia miltiorrhiza (redroot sage). Its description in RNAcentral is "long non-coding RNA (SMIL_LNC002175)". The record is from RNAcentral. Lineage: Eukaryota; Viridiplantae; Streptophyta; Magnoliopsida; Lamiales; Lamiaceae.